CUGAGAAUGUCAGUGCUGCCAAAUGAAAGCAGAACUAAAAAGGAAAACACUUGUUUCUCAGGGGACGUAUAACGAAGAAGAAACAUCAGUUUGGCGGGCCAAAUUGAACGUCGCAACUAAAUAUUUAUAACAGUUAGAAUAACAUUGAAGAUGAGGUUCCGAGCAAAAAUGAAUGAUGUUCGUUGCCUUAAUAAUUUCACACUCAUUGGCAGCAGAGAACUGGAAGGAAAGGCGGCCAAAGGAGGAAUUGGCUUUGGG
Molecule: long non-coding RNA, 258 nt
Organism: Oncorhynchus tshawytscha (Chinook salmon)
Lineage: Eukaryota; Metazoa; Chordata; Actinopteri; Salmoniformes; Salmonidae
Source: Ensembl